This is a long non-coding RNA of Poecilia latipinna (sailfin molly), 4172 nucleotides long. RefSeq lists it as uncharacterized. The record is from RefSeq and is a predicted model, not a curated record. The transcript is spliced from 2 exons. Lineage: Eukaryota; Metazoa; Chordata; Actinopteri; Cyprinodontiformes; Poeciliidae.
UAAGUUAAAGUUUAAAUAAUUUGGUGACUGGCUGCAGCUGAAGUCUCAGAUGAGCCGAAAGGGAUCGCUGUAGGCGCUGCUAAAGAGUGUAUGCACACACUCUGUCACGUGCUUCUUACGCUCUGAAACCCCUCCAGAGAGCAAAGAGUGAUGACGGCGUUACACAGUGCGAGCACACUCAGACUUUAGACAGGAGAGUCACAGAAAGGAGAGGAGAAAAGGGAGAGAGAAGGAUGGACGCAGGAAGCGGCCUCUACAUGACAGGCUGAUGAGAUGAAACUGAUAUGAUAGACCUGCUCAGAGAGUCCGCUUCAAAUCGGAACUUUCUCUAAGAGUUUUUGAAAGUCUCUUUUUUUUUUUUUUUUUCCAAAUAUUUGUCAUGUAAAAUGCAACUUAAUUAGUAAAAUGGGAGCAUGUUUCUUUAUUAGAAGCUCUUUUUUUAGUGAACAAAUCUUUUUUAUUUUAUUUUAUCGUAUUUAGUAAGAUGUGUGUUGUAAGAGUUAGAGAGUGUGUGUCAUGUUGUCUUGAUGCGUUUUGUUUCAGAGUCGGCUCCCUGAAGUCAGAGCCAUGAUUUGAAGAUCCCAGCGCCUUUAAAAGGAGCGGGGUUACAGCAGCUGCCACCGCCUCUCAGCGCCGUGCAGAUAAAGGAGGAGAUCCAUGAUGUGGACGUCUUCUCAAGUCACCAAGCAAUGAACACACACUCCUUCAGGCUCCAAACACACCACAAACACACUUCAUUUUCAUUUACUUGACUUAAUUGUCAGUAAUUGCCUCCUUCCUCAUUUUUGUGAAUGCCUUUUAUGAAUGACCACUUUGUAAUUAUCAAAUCAGUUUGUGUUGUGAAACAGAAGAACAAAAACAAACAAACAAAUGAUCUGGAACCCGAUGAGCUGAUAUGAGUUUUAAGGGCAACAAGUUUGUUUUCUCUGUACUUCUUCAGUGACUUAAAUGAAGAUGCAUGGUGUGAGAGUGAGUGUGUGUUUCCUCUUGAUGGGGUUUCUGUACCCGUGCACAUCUCACCCUCACUGCCCACAAUCCCCCCGCCAAGCUGAAUGGCAGACCUCUGGAUUGGCUAAGUGAUGAAAUGAUGACCCCAUUAUGAGAAGUGAUUCCAAAAUGAGAGGUAUCAGACAAAGACUGCACACCCCUCUCUGUCUCCCUCUCUCUCUGUUUAGCUGCAGCACCGUCCUCCAGCAGCAGCCUGCCAGCUGAGCAGAUGAUGAUUGAUUUGCCUGAGAAGGAUCACAGGAAGCAACCAUUGAUUUCUUUUUUUUUCUUCUUCUUCUUUUUCUUCUUUUGGUGUUUUAUUAGAAAUAUUUAUUUACCCCUGUAUCUGUGGGGCGUAUCAAGAUUCACUUCGUAUGGCAGAAGCUAUAAGUGGGAUAAUUCACACUUCUUCAUCUGAAGAUGGACGACCUGAAGUUCUGUAUUCCUUCAGAAAUGAGUCAAUAGACUCACCAAGUAAAUGAAUAUUGAUUGAAUAAUGCCGGAGUGUGAAUAUGAGCUCUUGCAGUGACCCUUCCUUCAGACUUAACUACAGGCAUCCUUAGUGAUGCCAAAACUUUACAACAACGUAUCUUAUGAAGGGACAGCUAAAAAAAAUCUUUAAUAGUACAUUUAUUUCAGAAAUACAUUUUAAAAAGUGAGUAUUAUAUUAUUAAUAUUCAUUGUUAUUCAUUGGAUAUGUUCCAGGCAGUUAAUUCUGUUAAUUUUGAUAAUUAUAGCUUGCACCUAAAUAAAAACCUAAAAUUAAAUUUCUCCAAAAAUUCAUAUUGGAAAUACCAAUUAAAUGUAAUUAAUGUAUUUUUGUUUCUUCACAGUUCUCUCAAGGCAGAGCUUGAGACAGACUUUCUUCUGUCACACUUUUUCCUUCCACUGAACUUUUCAAUAAUAUGUUUGGAUACAGCUAAUAGUGAAGAAUGACCCUCUUUAGAAAUGGCUUGAUGUAGAUCACCUGUUUGCUGUCAGUGCUUAUCUGCUACAUAUGUAUGUUAAAUUAGCUGAAGUCCUUUUGUGGGCCAUACCAUACCUAUAAAAUAAUAUUUCUGUAUUCAUUUUUUUUUGCUUGUUGUGUAAUAAUAUAAUUGUCUGCAAGACUAAAUUUUGGGUUUUAGCUGUAAGCUGUAAUCACCAACAUGACCAGAAUUGAUUCAAAUGUAUUAAUUUGUGUUUUUUUUAUCUAUAUAAUUACUGUUUACUUUUUUAAAAUUGAAUUACUGAGAUAAAUAACUUUCUAAAAAAAGUUUUAUAUACGAACUUCGAGACACACCUGUACACUACAGCUGGAAACCAAAGAAGAAGAAAAACAUGAACAGUUAUUCCCCCGUCUCUCUGGUAGUACUUGUUUGUUUCGGCUUAAUUGAUCCAACCAGAAGUACAGUUUGUUUUGAAGAUGCCAUCAGGUAAUAAUUCCAUUCUACCUUAAAGCUCAUGAGAUGCGCAGGAAGGAGGAAAGUGUGUUGCUUCACAAAACGUAAGGCGAUACAAUGUGCAAAUCCAAUGAGUGCCAAAACACUGAAACCACAGUGUGGGAGCAGUGUCCCAGAUAUUUGCUCUGACUUAAUCCAAUUGAAAUAGUAUGAGUGAGUUGCAGGGGCUCCCAGGUCUGUUUCUUGCUUAUGUAUGUGAUGCAUAAUAGAAGUUGACGAGGUUGGUGAUAGAUCACAGCCCAGGUAAUGUAAACACAUUAAUCCCUCAGGGUUCAUGUGCAUGUUCUUUCUCUUGUUUGCUCUCUUCUAUCUGCCUCUCCUUAUACCGACGCCCCCCCCCCACCCACCCCUCUGCAGACCCACCUCAACUCCAACCCACCUACCUCAGCCCUACCUCCACCUCCACUACCCCUCCCCUCCGCAGCCCCACCAACUCCCCAGUGUUCAUCAUCUUCCCUAAAUGCGUUAGUGGAGCACAAACCAGAAGCAGCCUUAAUCUGUCAACAUGCCCUUUAAUUGGAAGGAGAAAACAACACGUGCUCCUGGUUGUGCCAUUCCUAAGUGCACAUGCCAAAGAAAUACAGCAGUCACGGAAGAAGUGAUCCCGGGAGAGUGGGGCAUAAUUAAAAGUAUCUUUUAAUAGGCUUGUAAUGCUGAGCCUGACUCUUGUUGCCCUAAGUAGAGUGCAAAAAUCUGUGGCUGGAGACGGACAUGCGAAGGGGGCUUCUCGAAGGGAGCCUGUAAACGAUACACUGCCUCCACCGUCAUCAGACAUGCUGUCUCCACCUGAGUCACCGCGCUGAGGACAACAGCCACUUUCAGCCCCUGCUGCGGACACGUCGGCUCACCAGCUAACCGUGUUCCUUUGUUCUCCGAAUGAGAGAUUCUCCUCCACAACACAUCAGCUCUCCGGCUCCCCGUCCCCCGUGUCGCUUUGCCAACUUCUGCUCUACCUCCAACUCACAACACCAGUGGGGAGUGAGAACUGGGAUUAAGGGGUUGAUUUUGGGCCUGCUACACUGUAAUCAAAUGAGACUGCUUAGGGGAGAGGAGGAGAAGGAGGAGGUGGAGUAUUAUGUUCUGUAACGCAUUCCACUGCAGCUGUUUUUUGUUUUUUUUUGUUUUGUUUUGUUUUUGUCAGGGCAGACUUUGAUGCCGUAUCCCCUUACCUUUGUAGUCCCGGUAGCCAUGUUUCAUAAACACAGAAUAGGAAACAUCCUCGGCGUUAGAAAUGUAGAUUGCCGCUUUCCUCUCCGCCACUCUGCAUUCCGCACGUGCCCGGUCGCAUUCUCCGUCUCCCAGCACCGGGGUAUUAAGUUUCGUCUCCCUUGCCUCUGAUACAUUUAAACAUCUCACAAUCAGCCCCAGUGAUUUAGAGUGUCAUGUAUAAUCUGUGGCAACAACAAUGCCAGCUUCGCUUCAUAUCCUUGUAAGUGCCGUAUUUUUAUUUUAUUUUAUUUUUUUUUCACUUUUUUUAUUUUCCAUUUCAGGACAGCUGUACUUGCUAAAACACUUAAUUCAUUGAAGCCGAGAAGCUAGCGUUAGAGCAAUUUCGAAUUUGUCUUCACGAUUGAGGAUAUUAUAUUAAUACCGAGCUCCUCAUUCUGUAGAGUACCCUCUUGCUUUGUAUUAUCACACAGGGAAUUGUCUGGUCUCACUUCUCUUUGUAGUUAACUGAAACCCUCCAUGGGAUUGAGUGUAAUUGUAUUUCUAAAUCUAACUCAUUAAAAGCCAAACUCUUCA